Gadus macrocephalus (Pacific cod) is the source of this 736-nucleotide long non-coding RNA. RefSeq lists it as uncharacterized. The record is from RefSeq and is a predicted model, not a curated record. Lineage: Eukaryota; Metazoa; Chordata; Actinopteri; Gadiformes; Gadidae. The transcript has 2 exons.
UUACCUACUAUUCAUUCAGAUUCAUAGCCUACAUCCUGACUUGCAGGACCUGGACAAGCUUACACUGCAUAUUAAAUACUUUAUGGCCAUUCCACCAGCCAUUGCUAUUUGACCCAUUGUUGUUAUUCUGAUAUUGAGACAAAUCAUGAUCACUGUCCUAUAGCGUCCAUUUUUUGUGAGUCUCAAUGUCUACUUCAAAUGCAGUUAGAAAUAUGGGAUAGUAGCUUAAUUUUGUUUGUAUGCUACAGGCCGAAAGACAAAAUGUAUAUGUAACUUACUUGCUCCUUUUAAGUAUAACAUUGCUUGGGGAGUCCAAUUCCGCUAUGGGUGGAAAGUGCUUACAACUCUCAGCUAGUUAGCGAUCUAUCACUUCUCUACAUGUAGUUGUGUUGCGCGAAUGCUGCUGAGGGAAGUACCCUAUUUGAUUGAUUCGCUGAAUUGUCUAAUCAUGUGGUGAUAACAAAAAAGAAAAGCGAUACCAUUGGCCUUGGGCGCACACUGGUGCGACCCGAGGGCGAAUUUUCUUUGGCCAAUGAAAAGCUGUCUCUGCUUGAUAGACAGCAAAAAGUUAGCGAGCUUACAUUGACUUCAAGGUGGCCGGCGCCCCUGACUUGGAGGAGGGCUUUAUUUCGAAUGACCAAUAACUAGCCUAGCCCAAAUCAUUGAUGUUCAGACGCAUUUAAAUGGUUGCUGGCAGUGACAAUUAUCUCACACAAUUAAACGAGGAUAAACGCUA